Molecule: ribosomal RNA, 522 nt
Filed under: Candida tropicalis
Lineage: Eukaryota; Fungi; Ascomycota; Pichiomycetes; Serinales; Debaryomycetaceae
Description: eukaryotic LSU rRNA
Rfam family: 5.8S ribosomal RNA (bases 165-318)
Source: RNAcentral
UUGGGUACUGCCGGAAGGACAUUACUGAUUUGCUUAAUUGCACCACAUGUGUUUUUUAUUGAACAAAUUUCUUUCGGUGGCGGGAGCAAUCCUACCGCCAGAGGUUAUAACUAAACCAAACUUUUUAUUUACAGUCAAACUUGAUUUAUUAUUACAAUAGUCAAAACUUUCAACAACGGAUCUCUUGGUUCUCGCAUCGAUGAAGAACGCAGCGAAAUGCGAUACGUAAUAUGAAUUGCAGAUAUUCGUGAAUCAUCGAAUCUUUGAACGCACAUUGCGCCCUUUGGUAUUCCAAAGGGCAUGCCUGUUUGAGCGUCAUUUCUCCCUCAAACCCCCGGGUUUGGUGUUGAGCAAUACGCUAGGUUUGUUUGAAAGAAUUUAACGUGGAAACUUAUUUUAAGCGACUUAGGUUUAUCCAAAAACGCUUAUUUUGCUAGUGGCCACCACAAUUUAUUUCAUAACUUUGACCUCAAAUCAGGUAGGACUACCCGCUGAACUUAAGCAUAUCAAUAAGCGGAGGAA